RNAcentral lists this ribosomal RNA (1119 nucleotides) under Triticum aestivum (bread wheat). Its description in RNAcentral is "partial small subunit ribosomal RNA". Lineage: Eukaryota; Viridiplantae; Streptophyta; Magnoliopsida; Poales; Poaceae. The record is from RNAcentral.
GGCUCGACCGUCUUGAACGACCUGCCCGAGUGGCUCGUCGUCGAUGAGAUCCUUGUCCGCUUGCCUGUCAAAGACAUACUCCGCUGCCGCGCCGUCCGAAAGUCAUGGCACAACGGCACUUCCACCGACGCGUUCAUCCUUGGCCACCACCGCCGCCAGCACUCGCUCCCCAUCAUCAAACCCCGAAAGGACAUCUGCCGCGUCGUCGGAGCCUCCAAUGAUCUAAAGAUGCAGCCCGUCCUCCGAUACGCAUUCGCUACCAUUGUACACCGCGCCAUCUGUGAUGGCCUCCUUAUCUUAUCGCGGCAAUCCGAUUACUACAUCUGCAACCCGGCCACCCACAAGUGGGCGUCCAUGCCACAUCCCCCUCAGCGACAACCAAACAACACGGCCGUCAGCCUAGCUGGCUUCUAUCGGCACCACCCAUCUGGAGAACACCGAGUGCUUUGGGUGUCAUACCCGACAAAGGCCGCCGCCAAGGGCGAUGUAGCAGUUGAGUUGAUUGAGUACUUCGUCCUCACAGUAGGAUCGGACCAGCCAAGAUGCAUCCAAUGGCCAGCAGUUUUAGAACAAUGGUUUGUUCCUGCUAUCUGGUCCUACCAAUGCCCACCAAUCCUCCAUCGUCGUAACCUGCAUUGGUUAAUGGAUUUCAACUUAACGGUAUUUGACACCAUAGCUGAGACGUUCCGACAGAUGAACCGCCCAGCACAACUGGGCGAUUAUGUGUCAUUGUUGGAUACGGGCAACACCCUUGCUUUGUGUCGCACUGAUCAUAAUUGUGUCACUUUAGAUGUUUGGGUGUUGCAGGACUAUGAUGCCGAGACAUGGAGCUUUCAAUUCCAGAUUAACUUGUUAGCGAUGGAGGCAUCACCACCGCUUAAUUUUAAGGGGAUAGAUACUCCUAAAAUGGCUGUGAUCAACGAGCGUGAGCUAUUGAUUGAGCAAUGUCCUCGCCGUCUUUUGCAUUGCGACAUUGAUGGUGUGCUUUUAGGCAAUGUAGAAAGCAAAGAGCACAGGAACUUCUUGACACUUACUAGGCAUCGCCUCCAAGAGAGCAUGAUUUCGCUCCCAUUGUUUGAGACGCAAAAGGAAGCAAUGAACAAGGAGCCUCCAUUCGCC